RNAcentral lists this ribosomal RNA (468 nucleotides) under uncultured bacterium. Its description in RNAcentral is "partial 16S ribosomal RNA". It matches the Rfam family "Bacterial small subunit ribosomal RNA", at positions 28 to 507 of the family's 1533-position model. The record is from RNAcentral.
GACGAACGCUGGCGGCGUGCUUAACACAUGCAAGUCGAACGGAGAGGCCCUGCUUUUGUGGGGUGCUCGAGUGGCGAACGGGUGAGUAACACGUGAGUAACCUGCCCUUGACUUUGGGAUAACUUCAGGAAACUGGGGCUAAUACCGGAUAGGAGCUCCUGCUGCAUGGUGGGGGUUGGAAAGUUUCGGCGGUUGGGGAUGGACUCGCGGCUUAUCAGCUUGUUGGUGGGGUAGUGGCUUACCAAGGCUUUGACGGGUAGCCGGCCUGAGAGGGUGACCGGCCACAUUGGGACUGAGAUACGGCCCAGACUCCUACGGGAGGCAGCAGGGGGGAAUAUUGCACAAUGGGCGGAAGCCUGAUGCAGCAACGCCGCGUGCGGGAUGACGGCCUUCGGGUUGUAAACCGCUUUCGCCUGUGACGAAGCGUGAGUGACGGUAAUGGGUAAAGAAGCACCGGCUAACUACGUG